This 253-nucleotide ribosomal RNA is filed under the name uncultured bacterium. RNAcentral describes it as "partial 16S ribosomal RNA". It matches the Rfam family "Bacterial small subunit ribosomal RNA", at positions 524 to 776 of the family's 1533-position model. The record is from RNAcentral.
UACGUAGGCAGCGAGCGUUGUUCGGAAUUACUGGGCGUAAAGAGUGUGUAGGCGGUGCUCAAAGUUCGGUGUGAAAUCUCCCGGCUUAACUGGGAGGGUGCGCCGGAAACUGGAGUGCUCGAGCGUGGGAGAGGAAAGCGGAAUUCCUGGUGUAGCGGUGAAAUGCGUAGAUAUCAGGAGGAACACCUGCGGUGUAGACGGCUUUCUGGACCAUUGCUGACGCUGAGACACGAAAGCGUGGGUAGCAAACAGG